Small nucleolar RNA from Prolemur simus (greater bamboo lemur), 129 nucleotides. The record is from Ensembl. Lineage: Eukaryota; Metazoa; Chordata; Mammalia; Primates; Lemuridae.
UGGGUGUGCUCAGAGCAGGGGGCCUGAAAAAUGGCUCCUGUAUUUACAACUCACCCAACAGGAAUCUGGGGUCAUUGUGAUGAAGGGCACAAAACUUGUGGUCUCCCUAUGAACAAAUUCCCUACACAU